Molecule: small RNA, 526 nt
Filed under: Pan troglodytes (chimpanzee)
Lineage: Eukaryota; Metazoa; Chordata; Mammalia; Primates; Hominidae
Description: processed transcript
Source: RNAcentral
AUAAUAGGCAAAUCAUGACUUGCUGCCCACUUCUUCGCUCUGCCAAAAGUAUCACAUCCCUCAGUAAUUGUGUGGUACUCUCGACUUGUGCACCUGAUCUUGUGCAAAAUGUGCAGGCUGGCAGCCUCGUUGGUUUGUUUUAGAUAAUGGAAUCUUAUCCUACUAUGAUUCACAAGAUGAUGUUUGCAAAGGGAGCAAAGGAAGCAUAAAGAUGGCAGUUUGUGAAAUUAAAGUUCAUUCAGCAGACAACACAAGAAUGGAAUUAAUCAUUCCUGGAGAGCAGCAUUUCUACAUGAAGGCAGUGAAUGCAGCUGAAAGACAGAGGUGGCUGGUCGCUCUGGGGAGCUCCAAAGCAUGUUUGACUGAUACAAGGACUAAAAAAGAAAAAGAAAUAAGUGAAACCAGUGAAUCGCUGAAAACCAAAAUGUCUGAACUUCGCCUCUACUGUGACCUCUUAAUGCAGCAAGUUCAUACGAUACAGGAAUUUGUUCACCAUGAUGAGAAUCAUUCAUCUCCUAGUGCAGAG